GGGGGGGGGGGGGGGGGGGGGGGGGGGGGGCGGGGCGGGCGGGGAGGGCCGGCGGGGGGGGGGUGCGCGGGUGGCGAACGGGGGAGUAACGCGUGAGGGACCUGCGCGUGACGUUGGGGUAACUUCAGGAGACUGGGGCUCAUACCGGAUAGGAGCUCCUGCUGCAUGGUGGUGGUUGGCACGGUUCGGCUGUUGGGGAUGGACUCGCGGCUUAUCAGCUUGUUGGUGGGGUAGUGGCUUACCAAGGCUGUGACGGGUCGCCGGCCUGAGAGGGUGACCGGCCACAUUGGGACGGAGAUACGGCCCAGACUCCUACGGGAGGCAGCAGUGGGGAAUAUUGCACAAUGGGCGGAAGCCUGAUGCAGAAACGCCGCGUGCGGGAUGACGGCCUUCGGGUUGUAAACCGCUUUCGCCUGUGACGAAGCGUGAGUGACGGUAAUGGGUAAAGAAGAACCGGCUAACUACGUG
Molecule: ribosomal RNA, 468 nt
Filed under: uncultured bacterium
Lineage: Bacteria
Description: partial 16S ribosomal RNA
Rfam family: Bacterial small subunit ribosomal RNA (bases 48-468)
Source: RNAcentral